Molecule: ribosomal RNA, 492 nt
Filed under: uncultured bacterium
Lineage: Bacteria
Description: partial 16S ribosomal RNA
Rfam family: Bacterial small subunit ribosomal RNA
Source: RNAcentral
AGUGAACGCUGGCGGUAGGCCUAACACAUGCAAGUAGAACGGCAGCACAGUAAGAGCUUGCUCUUACGGGUGGCGAGUGGCGGACGGGUGAGGAAUACAUCGGAAUCUACUUUUUCGCGGGGGAUAACGUAGGGAAACUUACGCUAAUACCGCAUACGACCUACGGGUGAAAGCAGGGGAUCUUCGGACCUUGCGCGAUUGAAUGAGCCGAUGUCGGAUUAGCUAGUUGGCGGGGUAAAGGCCCACCAAGGCGACGAUCCGUAGCUGGUCUGAGAGGAUGAUCAGCCACACUGGAACUGAGACACGGUCCAGACUCCUACGGGAGGCAGCAGUGGGGAAUAUUGGACAAUGGGCGCAAGCCUGAUCCAGCCAUACCGCGUGGGUGAAGAAGGCCUUCGGGUUGUAAAGCCCUUUUGUUGGGAAAGAAAAGCAGCAGGUUAAUACCCCGCUGUUCUGACGGUACCCAAAGAAUAAGCACCGGCUAACUUCGUG